RNAcentral lists this long non-coding RNA (322 nucleotides) under Brassica napus (rape). Its description in RNAcentral is "long non-coding RNA (BNAP_LNC026597)". Lineage: Eukaryota; Viridiplantae; Streptophyta; Magnoliopsida; Brassicales; Brassicaceae. The record is from RNAcentral.
UCGAUCGACGGUGAUGGUCUGGUGUCGGUCGACGGUUGGUUGUACGUAUCGAUCGAUGACGAAGUGGUUGAGUCGAACGAUGUGGAACGUUGCCUCUACGGAUGGUGUGUUCCAAAUGAGCAGGAUCGUCUGAGAACAACAAGUCUUUCUCCUUGUUGCUUCUGGUACAGCUGGGCAUGCACCUGAAAAGACAAGAAAAAGAUUAUUAGAAAGGGGGUAAAGAAAAGAAUAAGAAGUAAUAAAACUAAAUCUAAUGACGAUCAAAGCUUCCCGACAACGGCGCCAAAUUUGAUACCACUCAAAUUACCCUAAGGAGUGUUAC